GUCGAGGGGUAGAAUAGCAAUAUUUGAGACCGGCGCACGGGUGCGUAACGCGUAUGCAAUCUACCUUUUACAGAGGGAUAGCCCAGAGAAAUUUGGAUUAAUACCUCAUAGUAUAGUGAGUUGGCAUCAACACACUAUUAAAGUCACAACGGUAAAAGAUGAGCAUGCGUCCCAUUAGCUAGUUGGUAAGGUAACGGCUUACCAAGGCAACGAUGGGUAGGGGUCCUGAGAGGGAGAUCCCCCACACUGGUACUGAGACACGGACCAGACUCCUACGGGAGGCAGCAGUGAGGAAUAUUGGUCAAUGGGCGCAAGCCUGAACCAGCCAUGCCGCGUGCAGGAUGACGGUCCUAUGGAUUGUAAACUGCUUUUGCACAGGAAGAAACACUCGGUCGUGACCGAGCUUGACGGUACUGUGAGAAUAAGGAUCGGCUAACUCCGUGCCAGCAGCCGCGGUAAUACGGAGGAUCCAAGCGUUAUCCGGAAUCAUUGGGUUUAAAGGGUCCGUAGGCGGCCAGAUAAGUCAGUGGUGAAAGCCCAUCGCUCAACGAUGGAACGGCCAUUGAUACUGUUUGGCUUGAAUUAUUUGGAAGUAACUAGAAUAUGUAGUGUAGCGGUGAAAUGCUUAGAGAUUACAUGGAAUACCAAUUGCGAAGGCAGGUUACUACAAAUUGAUUGACGCUGAUGG
RNAcentral lists this ribosomal RNA (688 nucleotides) under Flavobacterium psychrophilum. RNAcentral describes it as "bacterial SSU rRNA". It matches the Rfam family "Bacterial small subunit ribosomal RNA", at positions 61 to 752 of the family's 1533-position model. Lineage: Bacteria; Pseudomonadati; Bacteroidota; Flavobacteriia; Flavobacteriales; Flavobacteriaceae. The record is from RNAcentral.